AGAGUUUGAUCCUGGCUCAGAAUGAACGCUGGCGGCGUGCUUAACACAUGCAAGUCGUGCGCGAAGGCGGCUUCGGCGCCGGAGAGCGGCGGACGGGUGAGUAACACGUGGGUAAUCUGCCUGGGAGCGGGGGAUAACCUGGGGAAACUCGGGCUAACACCGCAUACGUUGUCGCCUCGCGAGGGGUGACAAGAAAGGCCUCUACUUGUAAGCUAGCGCUCCCAGAGGAGCCCGCGGCUGAUUAGCUAGUUGGUGAGGUAAUGGCUCACCAAGGCGACGAUCAGUAGCCGGCCUGAGAGGGUGAUCGGCCACACUGGGACUGAGACACGGCCCAGACUCCUACGGGAGGCAGCAGUGGGGAAUAUUGGACAAUGGGCGCAAGCCUGAUCCAGCAACGCCGCGUGGAGGAUGAAGGUCUUCGGAUCGUAAACUCCUGUCAGACGGGACGAAGGAGCUUCGGUAAAUAAUCGGAGCUCUUGACGGUACCGUCAGAGGAAGCCCCGGCUAACUCGUGCCAGCAGCCGCGGUAAUAC
Molecule: ribosomal RNA, 533 nt
Filed under: uncultured bacterium
Lineage: Bacteria
Description: bacterial SSU rRNA
Rfam family: Bacterial small subunit ribosomal RNA
Source: RNAcentral